This 330-nucleotide ribosomal RNA is filed under the name uncultured bacterium. RNAcentral describes it as "bacterial SSU rRNA". It matches the Rfam family "Bacterial small subunit ribosomal RNA", at positions 568 to 898 of the family's 1533-position model. The record is from RNAcentral.
CGCGCAGGCGGUCUUCCAAGUCAGUGGUGAAAGCCCGGAGCUCAACUCCGGAAUUGCCAUUGAAACUGUUGGACUUGAGUACGAGAGAGGUGAGUGGAAUUCCCAGUGUAGAGGUGAAAUUCGUAGAUAUUGGGAAGAACACCGGUGGCGAAGGCGGCUCACUGGCUCGUAACUGACGCUCAAGCGCGACAGCGUGGGGAUCAAACAGGAUUAGAUACCCUGGUAGUCCACGCCGUAAACGAUGAACGCUAGCCGUUGGCCAGCUUGCUGGUCAGUGGCGCAGCUAACGCAUUAAGCGUUCCGCCUGGGGAGUACGGCCGCAAGGUUGAA